This 73-nucleotide transfer RNA is filed under the name Acetatifactor sp. Its description in RNAcentral is "tRNA-Lys". It matches the Rfam family "tRNA". Rfam says of the family: Transfer RNA (tRNA) molecules are approximately 80 nucleotides in length. RNAcentral also lists the same sequence under 1 other name. The record is from RNAcentral. Lineage: Bacteria; Bacillati; Bacillota; Clostridia; Lachnospirales; Lachnospiraceae.
GCAGUCGUAGUUCAACCGGCAGAAUGGCAGACUUUUAAUCUGAAGGAUGAGGGUUCAAAUCCCUCCGGCUGUA